GAUGAAGAACGUAGCGAAAUGCGAUACUUGGUGUGAAUUGCAGAAUCCCGUGAACCAUCGAGUCUUUGAACGCAAGUUGCGCCCGAAGCCAUCAGGUUGAGGGCACGUCUGCCUGGGCGUCACAUAUCGUUGCCCAAUGCCUAUUGCAGUGCAAUAGGAAUUUCUAGGGCGAAUGAUGGCUUCCCGUGAGCGUUGUUGCCUCGCGGUUGGUUGAAAAUCGAGUCCUUGGUAGGGUGUGCCAUGGUAGAUGGUGGUCGAGUUAGAACGAUACCGAUCAUGUGCAUGCUCCCCAAAAUAUGGCCUCUAUGACCCACACGCGUCUUUUGACGCUCAUGACGAGACCUCAGGUCAGGCGGGGCUACCCGCUGAAUUUAAGCAUAUCAGUAAGCGGAGGA
This 395-nucleotide unclassified non-coding RNA is filed under the name soil metagenome. RNAcentral describes it as "partial contains 5.8S ribosomal RNA, internal transcribed spacer 2, and large subunit ribosomal RNA". The stretch from base 1 to 122 matches the Rfam family "5.8S ribosomal RNA", at positions 35 to 154 of the family's 154-position model. The record is from RNAcentral.